Molecule: ribosomal RNA, 164 nt
Filed under: uncultured bacterium
Lineage: Bacteria
Description: partial 16S ribosomal RNA
Rfam family: Bacterial small subunit ribosomal RNA
Source: RNAcentral
UAGGGAAUCUUCCACAAUGGGCGCAAGCCUGAUGGAGCAACACCGCGUGAGUGAAGAAGGGUUUCGGCUCGUAAAGCUCUGUUGUUAAAGAAGAACACGUAUGAGAGUAACUGUUCAUACGUUGACGGUAUUUAACCAGAAAGUCACGGCUAAAUACGUGCCAG